This 7286-nucleotide long non-coding RNA is filed under the name Diabrotica virgifera virgifera (western corn rootworm). Its description in RNAcentral is "uncharacterized LOC126881557". Lineage: Eukaryota; Metazoa; Arthropoda; Insecta; Coleoptera; Chrysomelidae. The record is from RNAcentral.
UAUUUUUAAAAAAAUAAUUAUUUUCUCUUGACCUCCCAUUUAAAUUCUUUAAUUUAUCGUAAAGGACUUCUCAUGUGACGUCACACUGUACGGAACAUAGUUGUUGAACCGUUCCUUGUCGUUUAAUUCGUGUUCCGUGAGAGUUUGACGUUUUCCUCGCUGACUGUGGGAGGAAUGAGAGGCACUUGACCGGUGGCUGCGAGGUUGACAGGUUGGUGUUGGUGGUUAGUACCGUAAAUGGCGGUUAAUUUCUUCGAAAUUAAUUUUUAUUUCAACUAAGUUUGGAAGUAUAGUAAAAAGUUACCACCACUUGUUUCCUGGAGUACGUGUUUCCUGGAGUAAGGAUGGGAGUACCAUCAGUGGAAGAGGAAUAAAAAAUUAACCGCCAUUUGGAAGAAAACUAACCCUCAUGUGAUGUCGUACCCACCUUGACUACCUAGGGAAGCCACCUUGACCUUAUUGCAGCUACCGCCAAGUCAAACUGGGAGUAUGUUUUGGGAACAAGCUUUUUGGGGGACAUUCCAGCUCCUUUUCGUCCUGCCACCUGGGCCUACGGGGGGGCAUGGAGGUGCAUCAUAGUGAUGCUCAUUUUCUAGGAUGCAACCGCAACCUCGUUUGGGAACAUUUAGUGAGGAGUUUUAGUAACUAUUGGUUUUUUUUAUAUUUCAGACUAUCUGUUAAAUACACUAUGUUUUUUUUUCCAGAUUUAGGUUACCUCUGUUUUUUUUUGACAUAUGUAUUUGUAUAUUAGAUUAUUUGGUUCCCAAACUUUGUAUCUACGGUAACUUCUUGUGCACAGGAAUAAGCCUAGAGAAAAUUAGGUUUUUAAUACUUUAUUAUUGCUUUGAUAUUGGUUUAUGUAAUUCGGGUAAAUUUAUUUUGUAACAUUACUUGCUUGUUUCCCAAAUAUUGUAUUUAUUCGCUUUAUUUCGUUUGUUCGGUUACUUCGUCGUUACUUUAUUUCAUUGCAUUUGCUCGGUUAAUUUAGGUCAUUUUGUCGGUAUUUUUCUUAACUUCACUUCUAUAACGUUUAUUCAUUUGUAUAUUUAAUUUUGCUUUAUUCAGUAUUGUAUUUUCUCUUAGUGAGGCUUGGGCCUAUUUAUUUGUAUUAUUUUCAUCUUCGUCGGUUUCCUUUAGUUGUACGUAGCAGGCGUACUAUAACCAUUUGGUAGAAGACUUAUGUAAUUUUGUACCCUAUAUGUUAGUAAGAGGUACUUAUAUUUAAGUUUGUAACAGAUAACAUUAUUGUUGUUAUCUUUAAAAUAUAUAUAUCUUCUUGUAUAACUUAUGUCAUUUUAGAGUCACAGCAUAAUAUGAACUUGCUUAACUCAGAGAUUGUUAAAAAUCUGGUAGUUAUUUUUAAUAAAUAUGUUUAUUUAUUUUGUAUAUCAUUUAUUUUUAUUAUUCCUUUAUGUUCAUUAUUACAGGUUUGAUAUAUUUAAUAUCUGACAGCAGUAUAAGAUACCUGGGAGAAUGAUCGAAGAUCAUUUUCAUGGCGCCCAUGAUUUGUUAGAUUUAUUUAUCUUGUUCAUCUUUAGAAAUUAUUCAUCUUCAUUCCUCUUCAGUACAUUAUUCUUAUUUUAUUAUUUCAUAUUUUAGUCAUUAUUACUAUCUACAUAGAGCUACUGUUCUUCGACAGGCAUGCAAACGAGCCGUAUCCAUCCAUGAGUGUCAAGUGGUUUUCUUGCAUCUCUUGCUAGCCAACUCUAUUCAGUUUGCCUCUGUCUCUUCCCACGUCUACUUAUUAUCCCUUCUAAUUCCCCUUUCUUCAGUACUACUGCAAAGUAGUAUUUUUUAUUUUUCCUACUUCGGCUCAACCGCUGAAGCCCCUUCAUUUUUAUUUUCAUAAGAGGCCCCAACUAGUUACCUUAGUCUUUUCUUUUCUUCUUUUUUUUCCUUACUUCUGUUGGAGUAUAUCUUUCUUUUUACUUUCACUCCAACAGAAGUUUUCUUAUUUUUGUUACACUGGCUGCCCAAUACGUGGUGCCAACCGUUUUAUGGUUCUAAGACAGUAGUUCUUUUAGUUCAAUUUUCUUUUAUUGGAAUUUUCUGUUUUAUUAACUUUUUGAUAUCUUUGUAUACAUGUUACUUCUGAUUUAUUUUUGGUCUUUAAAACUUUACGAAUAUUAAACAGGUAGACUUAUACUGCUUUUGGUUUUGAUUAGUUUAUUUCGAUACCUCAUUUUUAGUUUUAGUGGUACAGCUCAUAUGUUAGUUUGGAUUUUGUAUUUUUAUUGGAAACUUAUUUAUGUAUUUAGAUUGAGUAUACAUAACUGACAUUAUGUUCUAUUAGUUAAAUUUUUAGUCCUUCUACCAAUGGUAGUAUGUUUGCACGUACAAUUAAUUAUUGACUAUAUGCAUAUAUUUUUUUUCUAGUAUGGUUAUAUUUUACACCUAACUAGAAAUUAUUUUCAGGAUUUAGGUACUUUAUUUACUUUAUUGAUUUGAUUAUUUAUAUAUUUUGCUGGCAUUUUGAUUUGUUGGUGUGUCGCUAAUAUUUUCUCCAUAUGUAUCUUUGUCUUACAAACUUUAGAUUAUAUUUUAUAUUUGUUAUUUUUGAUAUUUGGGUUGUUUGGUAAGACAGGCACACACCACAAAGCAAUAUCAGUCCAGAACAUUAGCUUCUAUACAUGAUACGUUGAAUUCGCAUGGUUCGGAUGAUUACAGAUGGUCAUCCAAAUUAUUUUUCUUUAAUUGGUAGUGUUAAACAUUACAAUGAUAAAUUGUAUAGUUAAGUAGUUCCACUAUCCAUCUCAUAUUCCAGUUUUGUUAAAUUUUGGUAAUAAUAUUAUAUCAGUGUGGGUACCAUAAUAUAAUGCUUAUAUGAAUCAGAUACUUUAGGUUGAGAUUCAAAUAUAAAUUCUUUAUUAGUUAGGAAACAUUGAUACUACUUUUCUAUUAAGUUAUAGAACAAUCUUCAGAAGAAGAUUACCUUAACAGUGUUGUUCAAGCUAAUCUCUUCUUCUGUUUGUCUUUAGCUUAGCUCAAUCUUUAGUAUGGUUAUAACUUUUAGUCCAAUAUUGUUUUUUUAUCAUAUGAUAAUGCAGGUACCCACAUAAACUGCUUGAUUUCAUCUUUGGCUUAGUUUUGAUGACAUUUAUUUAUUACUUAUUAAUUUAAUUAUUAUGUAGUACUUUAUGUAUGAGUUUAUUUUUUUUAUUAUUAGGUAUGGUGCAUUUUAAUUAUUAUUAUGAGUCAAUAUUAUUAAUUGUUGAUCCUGUCAGUAGGAUUACACAAUUGAUAAUAACUUCACUUGUAUUUUUGUUCAGUUUUUGCACACCUAACCCCUAAGUUAGUAAGGUUGUUAACUUAUUAUAUAUUUAUAUAGUUGGAUAGGUAAGCUCAUACAAGUACUCUUGUUUAAUAAUGGAUAUUAUGAUGGAACUAUGUUAACUACCAUAUCUCAGGUUACGUGUUAUAUUAUUUUGAAUAUUUGAUUACUUACUAAUGUUUUUAUUAUUUUUGAUAUAUUGUUAUUGAAUUUGCCAUAUUGGAAAGAUGUGGUUUUUAAUUUGUUAUUGGGUUACUCUAUUAACAUUAUUUGUCUCCAAUAUCUUAAACACUUAAUAAUUUAUAUCCUUCUAUCCUACACACUAUGAUUCUGGAAUUAGUUUGGAAUGUUGAUGUAAGUAUGUAUGAAUUCUUGAGUCUUUCACAUUUCUGCUUAUGAUUAGUCUGUCAAUACUCUGAUUUGUGAAUGCGUGGGUUCGAAGUUGUUGCUCAGCAACUGAUCACUGCUGUUUGACUGGCUUCGUAAUCUUUGUCUUUCAUGGCAGAGUAGGCAGACGUUUUACCAUUAUAAUAUUUCUUGUUAGGAAAUGACGGUCGCAUGUCCUAACCAUUCUUCUGUAAUUAGUCCAAGUAUUCCAGUUUUUUUUUUACAAUUUAAUAGGGAAGUAUUUAGUUCAUAUUAGGCCUUUUACUUCAUAGUAUGUUUGUACUUUGAGUUGAUGAGUAAACAUGGAUAAAUAUCUUGCGCACUUGUUUAUAAAUCAAUGCUUAGGCCAUCCCUAUACAUAGUAGGUUCGUUAAGUCAGUAUUUGGAGUGUUUAGACAGAUGAGUUGUUCAUUUGAGUAUAUUCCCACUUCUUUCCUUAGGCAUUAGUUUUGUUAUUUAGAUUUUUGAACAUUUCCUGAAUAAUUCCACGUAUGUGAGAGCGCAUGAAUCUGCAGUUUUAAUUAAAAUUGGUUGCCCGUUCUCGUCAAUUUUUUUUCCUAUCACCUAUCACAUAUUUUUUUUCCUAUCACUUAUCAUAGUGUCAUAAAACUUAUGAGUUCAUCAUUUAUUCUGUUUUCUUUCUUACUUAUUCUUAUAUUAGUACCUUAUCUGUGUCUGGUUAUUCUCAUACAUCUGUUGUAGCAACAUGCUAUAGUUCGCGAAUACCAGCAUGAAUUAAGUUAUGUAUUUUCUAGAAUACUUUAGUCAAUACACUUUAGGUAUUUAUCUUACCUUUGAUUUAGUUUGGUUACAUCUCUGUUACUUAGUCUGUUGGUAAUUUUUUUUUGUGACUUAUUUUGAUUACUUAGUUUGGAUAGGUUCAUAUUACCGGAUGAGGGUGUAUGUAGACCUAAUUUAUUUAUUUUGUUCAGUAUUAGUUACCAUUGGAUCCAAUAAUUUAGUUUAUUUAGUAUUAGUAAGAAUUGGUCCAUAAAUUUGCCUGAUCGUUCUUCUUUGGAUAUACUCCUAUAUAAAUCUGGUGUCCAUUGAUAGUCCGAUUCUGGAUAAGUGUCCGAUUCUUCAUUUAUUUUGUGUAUUUAGUUGGAUAGGUUCGUAUUACCGGAUGUGGGUGUACGUAGACCUGAUCUGUUAUGUGGUUUAGUAUUGGUGUGAAUUGGUCCAUAAAUUUGCCUGGUCGUUCUUCUUUGGAUAUGCCUUUUAUGAAUCUGGUGUCCACUGAUAGUUCGACUUUGGAUUAAGUGUCCGAUUCCACAUUUAUUUUGGUUAUUGAGUUUUGGAUUCCUUUGGUAUGUUUAUUAUUGGUAUUAUUUGACAUUAGUGAGAAUUGUUCCAUAAAUCUUCCUGAUUGUUCUUCUCUGGAUAUACUAUUAUGAAUCUGGUGUCCAUUGUUAGUUCAGUUUUGGAUAAAGUGUUCAAUUCUUUACCUAUUUUAGUUACUGAUUUUUUUUAUUCACUUUGGUACAUUUACUUUUGAUAUGGUUCGAAUUGGCUCACACCUUUUCCUGGUUGUUCCGUUCUUGGAUAUACCCUUUAUAAAUCUGAUGUCCAUGGAUAGUUCAAUUUUGGUUUUAGUGCCCAAUUCGACACUCAGUUAUUAUUAUGAACUUAAGUACAAUAUUUAGUUUUGUUUUGACUUUUGAGCAAUAUAUGUUAAUAUUUGGUAGCAGAGAGUAACAUAGUAACAUUUUAGUAUGAGUUUGAGUCAUGUAUUGAUUUAUUUUUCCUUGACCAUUAGUUUAUAUUUAGAAGUAAUCUUGCGAAUCAACGUGGAUUGUUAGACUAUUGUAAAUUUAGUUGUUAAUAUUUUGAAGUUUAAAAAAAAAAAAUUUUUUUUGGUUAAAAAAAUUUUUUUCCCGAGUAGGAGGGGAUUGUAACGGUCCACCCGUUAUAUUAUCAUUUUUAGCGCUGUAAUUAUUUUUAAAAAAAUAAUUAUUUUCUCUUGACCUCCCAUUUAAAUUCUUUAAUUUAUCGUAAAGGACUUCUCAUGUGACGUCACACUGUACGGAACAUAGUUGUUGAACCGUUCCUUGUCGUUUAAUUCGUGUUCCGUGAGAGUUUGACGUUUUCCUCGCUGACUGUGGGAGGAAUGAGAGGCACUUGGCCGGUGGCUGCGAGGUUGACAGGUUGGUGUUGGUGGUUAGUACCGUAAAUGGCGGUUAAUUUCUUCGAAAUUAAUUUUUAUUUCAACUAAGUUUGGAAGUAUAGUAAAAAGUUACCACCACUUGUUUCCUGGAGUACGUGUUUCCUGGAGUAAGGAUGGGAGUACCAUCAGUGGAAGAGGAAUAAAAAAUUAACCGCCAUUUGGAAGAAAACUAACCCUCAUGUGAUGUCGUACCCACCUUGACUACCUAGGGAAGCCACCUUGACCUUAUUGCAGCUACCGCCAAGUCAAACUGGGAGUAUGUUUUGGGAACAAGCUUUUUGGGGGACAUUCCAGCUCCUUUUCGUCCUGCCACCUGGGCCUACGGGGGGGCAUGGAGGUGCAUCAUAGUGAUGCUCAUUUUCUAGGAUGCAACCGCAACCUCGUUUGGGAACAUUUAGUGAGGAGUUUUAGUAACUAUUGGUUUUUUUUAUAUUUCAGACUAUCUGUUAAAUACACUAUGUUUUUUUUUCCAGAUUUAGGUUACCUCUGUUUUUUUUUGACAUAUGUAUUUGUAUAUUAGAUUAUUUGGUUCCCAAACUUUGUAUCUACGGUAACUUCUUGUGCACAGGAAUAAGCCUAGAGAAAAUUAGGUUUUUAAUACUUUAUUAUUGCUUUGAUAUUGGUUUAUGUAAUUCGGGUAAAUUUAUUUUGUAACAUUACUUGCUUGUUUCCCAAAUAUUGUAUUUAUUCGCUUUAUUUCGUUUGUUCGGUUACUUCGUCGUUACUUUAUUUCAUUGCAUUUGCUCGGUUAAUUUAGGUCAUUUUGUCGGUAUUUUUCUUAACUUCACUUCUAUAACGUUUAUUCAUUUGUAUAUUUAAUUUUGCUUUAUUCAGUAUUGUAUUUUCUCUUAGUGAGGCUUGGGCCUAUUUAUUUGUAUUAUUUUCAUCUUCGUCGGUUUCCUUUAGUUGUACGUAGCAGGCGUACUAUAACCAUUUGGUAGAAGACUUAUGUAAUUUUGUACCCUAUAUGUUAGUAAGAGGUACUUAUAUUUAAGUUUGUAACAGAUAACAUUAUUGUUGUUAUCUUUAAAAUAUAUAUAUCUUCUUGUAUAACUUAUGUCAUUUUAGAGUCACAGCAUAAUAUGAACUUGCUUAACUCAGAGAUUGUUAAAAAUCUGGUAGUUAUUUUUAAUAAAUAUGUUUAUUUAUUUUGUAUAUCAUUUAUUUUUAUUAUUCCUUUAUGUUCAUUAUUACAGGUUUGAUAUAUUUAAUAUCUGACAGCAGUAUAAGAUACCUGGGAGAAUGAUCGAAGAUCAUUUUCAUGGCGCCCAUGAUUUGUUAGAUUUAUUUAUCUUGUUCAUCUUUAGAAAUUAUUCAUCUUCAUUCCUCUUCAGUACAUUAUUCUUAUUUUAUUAUUUCAUAUUUUAGUCAUUAUUACUAUCUACAUAGAGCUACUGUUCUUCGACAGGCAUGCAAACGAGCCGUAUCCAUCCAUGAGUGUCAAGUGGUUUUCUUGCAUCUCUU